This 2221-nucleotide long non-coding RNA is filed under the name Lytechinus variegatus (green sea urchin). Its description in RNAcentral is "uncharacterized LOC121407980". The record is from RNAcentral. Lineage: Eukaryota; Metazoa; Echinodermata; Echinoidea; Temnopleuroida; Toxopneustidae.
UUGUUCAAAAUAUUUCUAGAAAUGAUGUAUAUUCAUACAUUCACCGUUUUCUUUACAAUUCAGUAUGCUUCUCUUGGUUUUCAAAGGACAAUGGGCUAGUUUCUUAAAGAAAAAAAAAUUAUGACAUUGAUGGAUUUCCAUAAACUUGAGAUUGAUCAGAUCAAUCGUAACUCUUUGUAAGACGGGCCCUGGUCUCCAUGUACUCAUUACUUUGUAAUGAUACAUUUUCCCAAAAAUUGUUUGGCAGAUAUCAUUUGUAGUUUAUAUAAAUCUGUGUAAAGUUUUGUUCAAUUCUGUGAACAUCUUAUUUUUUCUUGUUACAAGUACCAGAGUUUAUCUCUUUUUUUUUGUUUGCCUUACCUACGUGUACUUAACCACAAAUGUAGAAAUUCAGAUGAAUCGUGCAAUAUAGAUAAUUAUUUUUUUUGUAUAGCUUUGUAGGAUUGCAAAUUGUAUUCUAGCUUCUGGGCAAUUCCAUGAAAAAGUCAGUCUUUGAGUAUGUUCAGCCCUCAUUUUUGGGGUCAAUUUUACUGCACUUAUCGAACUGCUCCAGACAGAGUAAUUGAUAGCAUUGCAACUUAUUAAAUGAACCAGAAAACAUCGACAAAUUAUUUUAGGAUGGAAAGUUUGAUGUACAUGUUUUUAUGUAAUUACCCUUCUGUAAAAAGUUGUGUUGUAUUUUAUAAUCCAUGAUUAUUUUAUUUUAGUAUGCAGUAUGUUCUUUUGGGAUGAUGAGUGUACAGAGCUUUGUAAUAGGACGUCAAACCAGUAAAGUUGCCAAGGUUUUGCUGAUAAAAUAACAUCCAGCUUUAAAAAAAAAACAUUUUCUACUAUGUCCAAGUUGGAUUUAUUGGUUCUAAAAUAUCCUCAAAAGUUAUACCAUGGGUUUUAGGACAGCCAAUAGGCCAAAUCUAGAAGAAUUAUACUUUUUUUCAUAAAUAAUGUUAGAAGUGAUAUGAAAAAGAUCCAUAACAAGCUAGAUUUCCUGAAGGAGGGGAUGUUUAUUUACCAUAUUUGGCUUUUGUAGUAAGGUUACAUGUUUAACAAUAUUACAUGUUUAUUAUAAGUGCACAAAAGAUGAGUUCUAAUAUAGUCAACUCCUUUUGUUUCUACAAAUAUUUUGAUUCAUAAAUUCUUUUAUUUUAGUGUGUAGUUGCUCAAAUGACAAGAUAUGCAUUCUGAAAUAGCUUGAGAUCUUCAUAUAAUAUUCCAAUAGUACAUUUAAACAUUUACCUGUUAGCAAAGGGCCACCAUUUAAAGCUAACGUUGCAAGAUAUUUAAUAUUUAAUCAGUACAAGUUGAAAUCAAUGCAUGUUUCAUAUUUAUUUAUUGUCCCAUAUAUAUGUCUUUAAUAUGUACCUGGGAAACUAGACUGGUACCAUGUUAGUUGCUGUAAUGACAAAGUUACUAUAAUAGCCUUAGUAAUGGACAUACUGAAUCUUUUCGACAAGCAAUCAUUGGAGUAAAAUGGCAUGAAUGACUAGAACGCUAGAGCCUAACAAUAAUAGAACCGUAAGAGACAAAGUUACUAUAGUUGGAACUCUCUAUGACUCGGGCGUCAGGUUGUAAUUCACAUUUGUGUGUAUAAAAAGUGAGAGAUGGUGACUAUACGAGCGAUAGGGCAUCACCGUCUGUGGGUAUUGUAUAUCGAGGAGGCAGUGUAGUAAAUUUGCUUUUCCCUUUUAAACAAUCAUUCAUACAUGUAUACAGGGUGAUAAGAAAUACAUGAUAUCAGUGUAUGGCAUGCUUGUAAAAGCAAUUUUUAUGUAUUUCAUACAUAUGAUUUUUAAUUUAACUUGAAAAGUGAAGGGAAAAAAUGUCCAUUACUAGGUUAAAAUAACUAGUUUAGUGGUAUUACAUUUUUUUUGUUAGUCACAUGUCCUAAUUUCUCAAGCCAUAAUGUUCCAGCCAAACAACAACAAAAUGAAUAUUUUAUGCAUGGUUGUGGCUUGCAGGGCAAUGAAAUGGUUGAAUAUGUUUUUUAGUUAUUUUGUGUGGUGAUCAAUACAAGUGCAAUAUGGGUAUAAAGUUACUGUAUCAUCUCAUCAAUUAUUUUCAUCCAAAUUACCAAAUUGAUAUUGUGUAUUAACAGUCUCUCAUCAUUUAUCUAUCUUUUAUAUAUGUAUGCUCUAACUGUACAUAAACAUUGUAAUAUUGGAAUUGCUUUAUUGCAUUUUUUUGUCAAUCAAUUUUGUUGAUUGAACUUUUUAUUUGCCAGUGA